Molecule: long non-coding RNA, 328 nt
Organism: Ornithodoros turicata
Lineage: Eukaryota; Metazoa; Arthropoda; Arachnida; Ixodida; Argasidae
Exons: 3
Source: RefSeq, a predicted model, not a curated record
AAGACAUUGGGAAGCUGCUUUGGCCCCACGAAGGAACUGGAACAUUCGAAGUGUUGUAGGGGAUAGUGGGUGUACUUCCCCUUCUGAAGGACAUCCCGCCAUUGUGUGCACUAAAAGUUUCCUUGUCUCAGUGCUGUUACUCGGUCAUGUAUCAAAGUAUGUCAUGGUUAUGUCCAGGGGCUUUCUGGUGCUCUGCUCGAUCUCUGUGGACGAUAGCUGUUCAUGAGCCCCCGAACAGAAGGAAGAGACUACACAAGGGGGGCUCACCGCAAGAGUUACAGUGAAUGAGUAAACGCUAACAACUCUGCAAGGCAUUAAAUGCAAGUCG